Molecule: ribosomal RNA, 254 nt
Filed under: uncultured bacterium
Lineage: Bacteria
Description: partial 16S ribosomal RNA
Rfam family: Bacterial small subunit ribosomal RNA
Source: RNAcentral
CACGUAGGCACCAAGCGUUGUCCGGAUUUAUUGGGCGUAAAGAGCUCGUAGGCGGUUCAGUAAGUCGGGUGUGAAAACUUUGGGCUUAACCCAAAGCGUGCAUCCGAUACUGCUGUGACUUGAGUUCGGUAGGGGAGUGGGGAAUUCCUAGUGUAGCGGUGAAAUGCGCAGAUAUUAGGAGGAACACCGGUGGCGAAGGCGCCACUCUGGGCCGAAACUGACGCUGAGGAGCGAAAGCAUGGGGAGCAAACAGG